Long non-coding RNA from Daktulosphaira vitifoliae (grape phylloxera), 278 nucleotides. RefSeq lists it as uncharacterized. NCBI's taxonomy places the organism in Eukaryota, Metazoa, Arthropoda, Insecta, Hemiptera, Phylloxeridae. The transcript is spliced from 3 exons. The record is from RefSeq and is a predicted model, not a curated record.
CCAAAUAGUGUAUGACGUAAUAGCGUUAUAAUUUAACAGUAUAAAUAAUUAACAGUAAAGCUAAAAAAAUUUCUAAAAAAGUAUAAGUGCAAGUCUAUUAGUUGUAUAUGUUUUAUUUGUAAAAUAAAAUUUUUAAAAGUCAUUUGUCAAUCGGGUAUUUACCAGUUAAAAAAUUAUGCAUAUCCUGUUUAUGUGCUUAUGCCUUAUUGUUAAGAAUUGGAUAAAUUGAUUCAGAUAAAAAUUAAUACAAAUUAAUUAAGUGCUUAUAAAUUAUGCAG